UCGAGAAUCUUCGGCAAUGGACGAAAGUCUGACCGAGCGACGCCGCGUGCGGGAUGAAGGUCUUCGGAUUGUAAACCGCUGUCGAGGGGAAUCAAAUGCUUGGGGGUUCUCCCCCUAGUUUGAGAGAACCCUGGAGGAAGGGGAGGCUAAGCUCGUGCCAGCAGCCGCGGUAAGACGAGCUCCCCAAACGUUAUUCGGUAUCACUGGGCUUAAAGAGUUCGUAGGCGGCGAAGUAGGUGAGGUGUGAAAGCCCUCGGCUCAACCGAGGAACUGCGCUUCAAACCGCUUUGCUAGAGGGAGAUAGGGGUAAGCGGAACAGAUGGUGGAGCGGUGAAAUGCAUUGAUAUCAUCUGGAACACCGGUGGCGAAAGCGGCUUACUGGAUCUUUUCUGACGCUGAG
This 400-nucleotide ribosomal RNA is filed under the name uncultured bacterium. RNAcentral describes it as "bacterial SSU rRNA". It matches the Rfam family "Bacterial small subunit ribosomal RNA", at positions 355 to 750 of the family's 1533-position model. The record is from RNAcentral.